AAGGAUCAUUAAUGAAUUCACUAUGGAGUUGUUGCUGGCCUCUAGGGGCAUGUGCACGCUUCACUAGUCUUUCAACCACCUGUGAACUUUUGAUAGAUCUGUGAAGUCGUCUUUCAAGUCGUUAGACUUGGUUUGCUGGGAUGUAAACGUCUCGGUGUGACUACGCAGUCUAUUUACUUAUAACACCCCAAAUGUAUGUCUACGAAUGUCAUUUAAAGGGCCUUGUGCCUAUAAACCAUAAUACAACUUUCAACAACGGAUCUCUUGGCUCUCGCAUCGAUGAAGAACGCAGCGAAAUGCGAUAAGUAAUGUUAAUUGCAGAAUUCAGUGAAUCAUCGAAUCUUUGAACGCACCUUGCGCCCCUUGGUAUUCCGAGGGGCAUGCCUGUUUGAGUGUCAUUAAAUUCUCAAACUCACUCUGGUUUUUCCAAUUGUGAUGUUUGGAUUGUUGGGGGCUGCUGGCCUUGACAGGUCGGCUCCUCUUAAAUGCAUUAGCAGGACUUCUCAUUGCCUCUGCGCAUGAUGUGAUAAUUAUCACUCAUCAAUAGCACGCAUGAAUAGAGUCUGGCUCUCUAACCGUCCGCAAGGACAAUUUGACAAUUUGACCUCAAAUCAGGUAGGACUACCCGCUGAACUUAA
This 638-nucleotide ribosomal RNA is filed under the name Pleurotus eryngii. RNAcentral describes it as "eukaryotic LSU rRNA". The stretch from base 245 to 398 matches the Rfam family "5.8S ribosomal RNA". Lineage: Eukaryota; Fungi; Basidiomycota; Agaricomycetes; Agaricales; Pleurotaceae. The record is from RNAcentral.